This is a long non-coding RNA of Sinocyclocheilus grahami, 91 nucleotides long. RefSeq lists it as uncharacterized. Lineage: Eukaryota; Metazoa; Chordata; Actinopteri; Cypriniformes; Cyprinidae. The record is from RefSeq and is a predicted model, not a curated record. The transcript is spliced from 3 exons.
UCAUUCUGUUUCUUAUUCACAUGCUAUUACAUUUAAGGUUCAGGUCAGGGCACUCCACCAAAGAGAAAAAGAGUGACACGCAGCCACUUUC